Molecule: ribosomal RNA, 468 nt
Filed under: Oryzias hubbsi
Lineage: Eukaryota; Metazoa; Chordata; Actinopteri; Beloniformes; Adrianichthyidae
Description: partial 16S ribosomal RNA
Rfam family: Bacterial large subunit ribosomal RNA
Source: RNAcentral
UGCCUUUUAAAUGAAGGCCCGUAUGAAUGGCAUAACGAGGGCUUAACUGUCUCUUUCCCCCUGUCAAUGAAAUUGAUCCCCCCGUGCAGAAGCGAGGAUAAAAACAUAAGACGAGAAGACCCUGUGGAGCUUUAGACCAUAAGCAGGCCAUGUUAAGGACUAUAAACACAGACCUCAAACAAAUUGGAUGCUGCUCUAAUGUCUUUGGUUGGGGCGACCGCGGGGAAAUAAAUAACCCCCAUGUGGAUUAAGAAUAUAUUCUUAAAACCAAGAGCCACCGCUCUAAGAAUCAGAAUAUCUGACCUUGUGAUCCGGACAUCCGAUCAACGAACCUAGUUACCCCAGGGAUAACAGCGCAAUCCCCUUCUAGAGCCCAUAUCGACAAGGGGGUUUACGACCUCGAUGUUGGAUCAGGACAUCCUAAUGGUGCAGCCGCUAUUAAGGGUUUGUUUGUUCAACAAUUAAAGU